Lutra lutra (Eurasian river otter) is the source of this 2292-nucleotide non-coding RNA. The record is from the annotation of a RefSeq genome assembly. NCBI's taxonomy places the organism in Eukaryota, Metazoa, Chordata, Mammalia, Carnivora, Mustelidae.
UAUAUCAGUGACCAGCUGGGCAAGGUCUUUGCCCUCAUGGAACUGGCAUUAUGGGGUGUGUGUGUGGGCGUAUGAGGGACGUGAGGUUGGACAGGAGGCAGCGGGAGGACCAUUUGCAGGGUGUUACAGGCCCAGGAAAGGGGUCCAGCUGCCACCAUCUGAUUUAUACCCCCGCAAACCUUCCCACAAACACUCCUGGGUUUGGGGCAGGGAGGGAUUCAGUCUUCCUUUUCUCAGGGCAGUGCUUUCCCGCCACUGUCAUGUCCUAGCCUAUAGAGAACACACUAUUUUCUGGCAUGUGGCUGGAAGGGCCGGUUCCAGGGGCUCCCAACCAGCACUGGCCCAGCAAACUUGUAACCCAGUCACAGCAGCUCUGCCUGUGGGAAGUUCUGCUUCGGGGGAAAAUCUGCCAGCUGGAGCCCUGCGUGGGCUGCAAGGGGCCUCCUGAAAGAUGGAAAGUCACACUGUGUGACAUGCAGGAAGCACUCUUGGGCAGGGGGGCGGGGGGGAGUCAGGGUGUGCAUCCAGGCAUCAGAGAUAGAAGAUUUCUAGAAUUCAGGGCUAGGAGAGAUUUUAGAAUCGAUCUUAUUCAAUCCUCUUCCCUCCCUCCUUCCAUGGAGGACUAAGAAAUGAGCCGAACGGCAUUGCUUGGGCACAAGUGUGGAUCUGCCAGGUGCUGGGUGACUGGGACCUGGUCCCCAGUAUGGGACCAAGGAUACAGGCAGGGCAGAAAGCCUCUCAUAUAGCAGUUGGAUGUCUAAGCAGGUGAUCAUUGGGCUUGCAGGUUCUAGUUCUCUGUGUAUGUGUUUAAGUAAUUCAUUUUCUUUGUGUUUUACAGGAGGAUUCCUUCAAGAUGGAUGGAGGACCAAAAGAACAACAACAACAGUUUCUUGGGCGGAAGUAGUUGCCAGCAGAGCUAGAGCUCAUUUAGUCACAUGACCCUCUCUGUGGCCUGCCUGCUCGCAUUCCCUCCCACCUCCUUCCUCAGAAGCCCUAAGAUGGUCUCAGAGACCUCAGGGGCCCCAGUUUAUUCUCCAGCCUCGGCCCUGAUAGGAGGCAAAGAUGAUUUUUCUUGUGGGCUUUAGCUUUUUGCUUUCCUACGAGAGCGUGCUGUGUGACCAAGUGACCCAGAGCCCCCUGGACCAGACAGUGGCCAGUGGCAGUAGUGUGAAGCUGUUCUGUACCUAUUACACUACAGAAUCAAACCCUGAUUUGUACUGGUACCGGAUAUGGCCAGGUCACUCCUUUCAGUUUAUCUUUUACCGGGAUAAAAUUCUAACCCACAACGCAGAUUUUACUAGGGAUUGGUUUUCUGUGCUGCAUAGUCCGUCCCAGAGAACCUUCAACUUGGUGAUCUCCCUGGUGGAACCUGAAGACAGCACCACUUACUACUGUGCCAUGAACCCCCACAGUGACUCAGGUGCCCAGGAAGUCUACGUAAACCCCGGGCACAGCCCCCUCUAGCUACCUCUUAAGGCAGCUCACGUCCCCAGACAUGGGAUCCUUCUUCCCAGUUAUUUUGUGCUCUGGCCUGGCCUUCAGAGGUGCCCGAGGGGGUCUGCUGAAUAAUAAAAAGCCAGCUCCCCCUGGCUUCAGAUGGAGCAGAGCCCCUCCCCCCUUCUGACUCUGUGGGCCCUGGUGGUGGCAGAGGGGGAGAGAGAUGUCUGAAGAAUCUCAUCUUUGCAUCCCCAGUGCCCAGCUCACUCAUGCCUCACAGAGCAGGGCUGACAAGUACGAGUUGUGAGUCCUAUGAAGAUACCAGAAUGGGUCAGGUGAAAGGCCAGGCUAGGGAGAACUCAUCAGGAGGGUCUUUAUUUUAGUCUCCAUCAUUUAUCCCUUAUUGUGAUUCAUUCUGUUUUCUUUUGAAGACUCAAAAUUAGACCCAAAGUUACUUCAAAAAAUUUCCCGAUUCACCUUAUUUCUGCGUCUUCUUGUAGAGUUACCUCAUUUUUCUCGAAUGCUCUUUGGCACCACCAUUUUAUUUACUUUAUUUGGAGAACAUUUUUCUUUCACUGGAGAGCCUUGAGAUACUCCCAGCAGGUUGUCUGUGAUUCCCAGAACACCAGCUUCAAAGUCCCUGAGUCUGGAGCUCAGGGGUGUCUCCAAGGAAGACCAUUAUCUUCAGGGAAAGUCAAGUAUGUGAUGUCAAAAUAGAAAAAUCCUAAGCCCUGGGAGCGGGUCCCUCUUUCCUUCAUUUCUGUUGAAUUCUCUGCCUUAAAACAAUGAGUAGAGUUGGGAGACGUAACCUAGGAGAGGGUAGAAGCCUUAGCUAUUGCAGCACUGGAGCCCAGA